This 434-nucleotide ribosomal RNA is filed under the name uncultured bacterium. Its description in RNAcentral is "partial 16S ribosomal RNA". It matches the Rfam family "Bacterial small subunit ribosomal RNA", at positions 29 to 507 of the family's 1533-position model. The record is from RNAcentral.
AGCGAACGCUGGCGGCAGGCCUAACACAUGCAAGUCGAACGAACCUUCCGGGGUUAGUGGCGGACGGGGGAGGAACACGUGGGAACGUGCCUGUAGGUUCGGAAUAACUGACUGAAACAUGUGCUAAUAACGCAGGUGCUCAUCGGGGGAAAGAUUAAUCGCCUUUGGAGCGGCCCGGGUCAGUUUAGCUAGUUGGGUGUGGUAAUGCCACGCCACGGCGUCGAUCAGGAGCUGGUGUGGGAACAUGCUUAGCCACAUUGGGGCUGAGACACGGCCCCCACUGCUACGCAACGCAGCAGUGGGGAGUCUUGCGGAAUGGACGAUAGCCUAACGCCGCCAUGCCGGGUAAAUGAUGCAGGUCUUAGGAUUGUAAAAUUCUUUGAGCGGAAGCGAUAAUGACGGUAACCGGAAAAGAAGCCCCGGCUAACUACGUG